This 279-nucleotide ribosomal RNA is filed under the name uncultured bacterium. Its description in RNAcentral is "partial 16S ribosomal RNA". It matches the Rfam family "Bacterial small subunit ribosomal RNA", at positions 506 to 784 of the family's 1533-position model. The record is from RNAcentral.
UGCCAGCCGCCGCGGUAAUACUGAAGGUGCAAGCGUUAAUCGGAAUCACUGGGCGUAAAGGGCGCGUAGGCGGCCUGGCAAGUCAGUUGUGAAAGCCCUCGGCUUAACCGAGGAACUGCGACUGAAACUGUCGGGCUUGAGUCCCGGAGAGGGUAGCGGAAUUCCCAGUGUAGCGGUGAAAUGCGUAGAUACUGGGAGGAACACCUGUGGCGAAGGCGGCUACCUGGACGGGUACUGACGCUGAGGCGCGAAAGCUAGAGGAGCAAACAGGAUUAGAUA